UGCUGGUGGUGAAGCGCCCCCGCUCGGAGAACUGGGCCUUGCCGGGGGUGAGCC
This 54-nucleotide small nucleolar RNA is filed under the name Pteropus alecto (black flying fox). RNAcentral's name for it is "Z6 small nucleolar RNA". It matches the Rfam family "Z6 small nucleolar RNA". Rfam says of the family: Z6 belongs to the C/D class of snoRNA which contain the C (UGAUGA) and D (CUGA) box motifs. RNAcentral also lists the same sequence under 1 other name. The record is from Rfam by way of RNAcentral. Lineage: Eukaryota; Metazoa; Chordata; Mammalia; Chiroptera; Pteropodidae.